UCCACACAACACCGGGGGCGGAUGUAUGCACAGGCUACCCCUGGCUGAAGCCAGGGGUAAAUCAAACAAAAAAAAAAUUGAAGGUAGAAAAUGUUAGCUUUAUUUAGUCAACUCCAGCUACACAUAGAGUCAAGCCAGGUUGGAAACGUCCGAGAGCUGAUCAAAAUCUGAAAAAGUGGAUAGUGGAUAUUGAAUGUUGCUUCUGCGUUUUUCCAAGUCUCGGCACAUAAUGUAGUGAAUUGGAAGGAUCUUUGUGGAAGGAGACAAGCUUAAGAUUACCUUUAUUGCACAUGGUAAAGUUCUAUUUUGACUAUCGAUGAAAAAAAAAGUUCUAUUUUGACUAAAAAGAGGAUGUGGUCUAUUCUCUUUCCAUGUUACUACGAGAGUUCUACAGUUUUUACGUAAUAAAGGGAUGCCCAUGGCAGAUUGUUAAAAUAAGGGGGAAGGCCGCAUGCAUCCGCAGGAGGUACAGGGCAUUGUUCUUUGUUAAAUGCCUAAACUUGGCCUAAGAUGGGUUCCUUUACGGGGUUUUGCUGACAACCCUGGGAUCAUCAGGUCAAUUAUUGAUCAUCUGCAGCGGUGAUACUCAGCUAAUGUUUUCUAUUAGUUUAUGAUGCUGCAGACACAUCGGCCGAUAUCUAUUUGUUUAUUACUUCUUGUUAUUUAAUAGGUCAUUUCAGAAUAUUUCACCAAGUUGAUCCCGACAGUCACCCGAAGAGCUUAAGAAGAUGAUUUAAAUGGCCACCUCAUUUCAAGGGAUGUAAAUGGUAGAUGCCAUACCGAGGCUCAAUUAAUUGAUAUCUAUGGUGCAUUGAACUCUUAUGUUGCUUGAAGGUGACUGAUCUAGAAUCCCUAUGUUGCUUGAAGCAAAAAGAGAACGAAUUGUCAGCGUAUCGUUUAGAAUAUGCCAAAGUUAUGGCUGAAAUUUGCUCCAAGAACUAUAAAAAUCUCUGGAUCAUCGCAGCUU
This is a long non-coding RNA of Papaver somniferum (opium poppy), 967 nucleotides long. RefSeq lists it as uncharacterized. Lineage: Eukaryota; Viridiplantae; Streptophyta; Magnoliopsida; Ranunculales; Papaveraceae. The record is from RefSeq and is a predicted model, not a curated record. The transcript has 4 exons.